GCGCAGAUAUCAGGAGGAACACCGGUGGCGAAGGCGGGUCUAUGGGCCAUUACUGACGCUGAGGAGCGAAAGCGUGGGGAGCGAACAGGAUUAGAUACCCUGGUAGUCCACGCCGUAAACGUUGGGCGCUAGGUGUGGGGACUGUUUCCACGGUCUCCGUGCCGGAGCUAACGCAUUAAGCGCCCCGCCUGGGGAGUACGGCCGCAAGGCUAAAACUCAAAGGAAUUGACGGGGGCCCGCACAAGCGGCGGAGCAUGCGGCUUAAUUCGAUGCAACGCGAAGAACCUUACCAGGGCUUGACAUGCACGGUGCGCCUCUAGAGAUAGAGGGUCCUUUGGGGUCGUGCACAGGUGGUGCAUGGUUGUCGUCAGCUCGUGUCGUGAGAUGUUGGGUUAAGUCCCGCAACGAGCGCAACCCUCGUCCUGUAUUGCCAGCAGCGGUUUCGGCCGGCUGGGGACUUGCGGGAGACUGCCGGGGUCAACUCGGAGGAAGGUGGGGACGACGUCAAAUCAUCAUGCCCCUUAUGUCCUGGGCUGCACGCAUGCUACAAUGGCCGGUACAGAGGGCUGCGAUACCGUGAGGUGGAGCGAAUCCCGUAAAGCCGGUCUCAGUUCGGAUCGGGGUCUGCAACUCGACCCCGUGAAGUCGGAGUCGCUAGUAAUCGCAGAUCAGCAACGCUGCGGUGAAUACGUUCCCGGGCCUU
Molecule: ribosomal RNA, 703 nt
Filed under: Actinospica sp.
Lineage: Bacteria; Bacillati; Actinomycetota; Actinomycetes; Catenulisporales; Actinospicaceae
Description: bacterial SSU rRNA
Rfam family: Bacterial small subunit ribosomal RNA
Source: RNAcentral